RNAcentral lists this ribosomal RNA (449 nucleotides) under uncultured bacterium. Its description in RNAcentral is "partial 16S ribosomal RNA". It matches the Rfam family "Bacterial small subunit ribosomal RNA", at positions 29 to 523 of the family's 1533-position model. The record is from RNAcentral.
AACGAACGCUGGCGGCAUGCCUAACACAUGCAAGUCGAACGAGACCUUCGGGUCUAGUGGCGCACGGGUGCGUAACGCGUGGGAACCUACCCUUGGGUUCGGAAUAACAGUUAGAAAUGACUGCUAAUACCGGAUGAUGACGUAAGUCCAAAGAUUUAUCGCCCAAGGAUGAGCCCGCGUAAGAUUAGCUUGUUGGUGGGGUAAUGGCCUACCAAGGCGACGAUCUUUAGCUGGUCUGAGAGGAUGAUCAGCCACACUGGGACUGAGACACGGCCCAGACUCCUACGGGAGGCAGCAGUGGGGAAUAUUGGACAAUGGGCGAAAGCCUGGUCCAGCAAUGCCGCGUGAGUGAUGAAGGCCUCAGGGUUGUAAGGCUCUUUUACCAGGGAUGAUAAUGACAGUACCUGGAGAAUAAGCUCCGGCUAACUCCGUGCCAGCCGCCGCAGUAA